RNAcentral lists this ribosomal RNA (918 nucleotides) under 'Quercus humboldtii' aster yellows phytoplasma. RNAcentral's name for it is "bacterial SSU rRNA". It matches the Rfam family "Bacterial small subunit ribosomal RNA", at positions 357 to 1283 of the family's 1533-position model. The record is from RNAcentral. Lineage: Bacteria; Bacillati; Mycoplasmatota; Mollicutes; Acholeplasmatales; Acholeplasmataceae.
GGGAAUUUUCGGCAAUGGAGGAAACUCUGACCGAGCAACGCCGCGUGAACGAUGAAGUAUUUCGGUACGUAAAGUUCUUUUAUUAGGGAAGAAUAAAUGAUGGAAAAAUCAUUCUGACGGUACCUAAUGAAUAAGCCCCGGCUAACUAUGUGCCAGCAGCCGCGGUAAUACAUAGGGGGCAAGCGUUAUCCGGAAUUAUUGGGCGUAAAGGGUGCGUAAGCGGUUAAAUAAGUUUAUGGUCUAAGUGCAAUGCUCAACAUUGUGAUGCUAUAAAAACUGUUUAGCUAGAGUAAGAUAGAGGCAAGUGGAAUUCCAUGUGUAGUGGUAAAAUGCGUAAAUAUAUGGAGGAACACCAGUAGCGAAGGCGGCUUGCUGGGUCUUUACUGACGCUGAGGCACGAAAGCGUGGGGAGCAAACAGGAUUAGAUACCCUGGUAGUCCACGCCGUAAACGAUGAGUACUAAACGUUGGGUAAAACCAGUGUUGAAGUUAACACAUUAAGUACUCCGCCUGAGUAGUACGUACGCAAGUAUGAAACUUAAAGGAAUUGACGGGACUCCGCACAAGCGGUGGAUCAUGUUGUUUAAUUCGAAGGUACCCGAAAAACCUCACCAGGUCUUGACAUGCUUCUGCAAAGCUGUAGAAACACAGUGGAGGUUAUCAGUUGCACAGGUGGUGCAUGGUUGUCGUCAGCUCGUGUCGUGAGAUGUUGGGUUAAGUCCCGCAACGAGCGCAACCCUUAUUGUUAGUUACCAGCACGUAAUGGUGGGGACUUUAGCAAGACUGCCAGUGAUGAAUUGGAGGAAGGUGGGGACGACGUCAAAUCAUCAUGCCCCUUAUGACCUGGGCUACAAACGUGAUACAAUGGCUGUUACAAAGGGUAGCUGAAGCGCAAGUUUUUGGCGAAUCUCAAAAAAAC